CAGCCUGUCAAUAUGCUCUCCAUCUGAAACAUUGAAUUGUGCAUCUAAAUCGGCCUGUCCCUCAAUAAUUUCAAUAAGUUCUUUCAUCCGUUCUGGAGGAGCUUUGUCUCCAAAUAUGCUCAAACUUCUUAAGAAGUCCAUAAACAUUCUGAAUUCUGCUGCAGUUACAUCUUCUAAGCCCUUUUUAAUCAAAUCAGUUAUAUGCCGUUCCAUUUCCUCUUGCGGCCUUAAAAGUUCAGCCUUGAGAGGGAAAACCUUGUCUUUAAUAAAGCCUAAAACUUUCUCACGGACAUCUUCUGGACCUUGUUCAUCAGUAGUCCCAAUGUGCUUAAAUAAGGCAGUUAAAGAGGCUUUUACAUCCUGCCUCAGCAAAGACAUAAGGGCCUUAUGCACAGCAUCCCGCUCCACAAUUUCCUCAGCUACAAGGAGCUGCACAAGAAUAUCGAUGAUUUUGGAAAGAUACUCUGGUGUAUCCUU
This 477-nucleotide unclassified non-coding RNA is filed under the name Hevea brasiliensis (rubber tree). Lineage: Eukaryota; Viridiplantae; Streptophyta; Magnoliopsida; Malpighiales; Euphorbiaceae. The record is from RNAcentral.